Molecule: long non-coding RNA, 2970 nt
Organism: Siniperca chuatsi (mandarin fish)
Lineage: Eukaryota; Metazoa; Chordata; Actinopteri; Centrarchiformes; Sinipercidae
Exons: 2
Source: RefSeq, a predicted model, not a curated record
AGAGAUGUUAGAAACAGUGUGAUUUCUUCUGAGUGGAUAUAAUAAAUUAUACUAAUAACAAUAUAAUUUAAUAAUAUUCUAUUUCCAACUAUGAAAAAAUAUUCUUCAUGCAAAUAGAAAAGCUUAUCAAUAUUUCCAAAAUGAAUGGUAUCCUUGAGUAAAUUCUUUGACUGCUUCAGUACAAUGGGCGAGGGAACUUUUUCAUUAUACGAGGGCCAUGUAAUCUCUGGACUCUUUGUUUUCCUUCAGCUCUCAAAUGUUCCUCGCCACCUCGAGAGCUGGCUAAUGGAUGCAGAUGGAGGAAGUGUUUGACAUUAUGGACACAGCAGUGCUUGUUUUAGAGGAGCUGGUCAUGUGGUCUGCCUUAGCAGGCCACACAGUACCCCCUUAAUGUGACCCAGACCCCCCAGCCAACUCCAGGGGGUUUCAGGAACUAUCUGCUCUGGGGGAACUGAGUGUCAGUUUAGCCCCCUAGUGAACACAAGUCAACAUGCCUUAAUCCCCCCAUCACCUAAAGUUACACUUUUGGGUCUGCAAUUAGCCAGCCGGCCAAAUCUCCCACACGCCCUAGUGAGCUCGCUCUUUCCGAGCCCCAGCACGGAACUCCAAGCUGGGGCUGUGGCCAGUGCUCAGAGCUCCGUGCUGGGAACCAGAGCCGCUGCUUGUACUGCCGGUUUCCAUGGCACAGUGCCGGACCGGCCACAUGGUCCCUCAUCUUUCACUGUCACCAUGCUGGAGAGGAAGAGAUCAAAACAAACAUGUGGUGGCAGGGAGAGCCUGACAUGAUGAAUCGCUGUAAUCAGUAUCAGACAGGCCAGCGCUCGCUCUGAUUGGUACAGGCUCCUUUUGAGAGAUUCUUCAAGUGACUGAGUGGCAAGACGCACAGAGCAAGAUCUGUGACCUGAAGCAUAGCCUAAAGACCUGAGAUAUGGCUGAUUCAAGCAAAACCACCACCAAGCGAGGUCUGCAGAUCAUUCUACUCUGAGCUACGCUGAAUGUAAACAUUUUCUAAGGUGGGGAAAUGUUUGCAACAUGGAAGCCGGGUGUUUGGUGGGCGCCAUGUCCAUUAUCAACUGGCCCGGAGCCAUGCCAACAAGAAUGAUGGGGGUGUAAAUUCCAGUCCUUGGUAUCAGCUCCGUUCUGCACAUUGUUUACCUCCUUUGUGACUUCCUGCUUCUUCAUCUUGGAAGAGGAGCACAGGAAGGGCCAAAAGUCCCCCCUCAACCCAAAUCUCCUGUAUGCCAAACAAAAAGCCACAUUGUAGCUCAUUUUCCUGUCUCCUCCACUGCGCAUUUCCAGCUGGGGGUGUGGUAUUGGCAUUCCUCAAGGUCAAAUCUCUGCACGCCUCUGAUCCCCUAAUUUCACUGUCUGGGGUUGGCGUGGGGGCUUCUCUAAUGGAUAUGUUACCCACUUCCUGCUGCUGGUAAGAGGCAAUCCUGAUCCUGCUGUCACAGAACAAAUUGCCACGUUAAAACCCCACUAAACACCUUCAGAGACAUACUGGAGGAUGCGUCAUCUUACCGACCCCUGAGGUUAGAGCCUUUCGUCAGGUGGGCCAUAGGGACGAAGCUAGCGGGCAAGCAAAAAUGAAGAAACAGGAUCAGCCCAUGAAAGGUGCAUUUACUGACCGGAGUGACUUUGAAGGAAAUAUUCACUCAGCUGAGUUUUUGGAAGAACAGGAUCAGACUCUGGCCACCCCACUGGCUUGGACGUUACCUCCGCUAACACAGUUAUUAAUUUCAGCUAGAGAGGGAAAGUACUUAAUGGGAUAUGCACACAUGCACUCAAACACAUACACACACUCAUACACAUUCACAGUGGGCCUGUCUGUAAUGGCCUUUGACUAGAGGUCUGUGGUCCAAGUUCACGAAAGCAGAGGCUGGUGAAGAGUGAACAAGCCAGGGUGACUGAGGAGGGACAGAUGGAGCAGCAUUGUGGGGAUGGAGGGAUGGAAGAAGUUGGGGGGUUGAGGGACAUGAGGUGGUGGUGGUGGUGGGGAGGGGGGAUCUCAGCCUUGAGCCCCCUCUGCCAGAAACAACAAGCAGGCCUUCUCAUAUUCAAAUAAAUACCAAGCCAGUGGGGAGCAUUGAGGGGCUGCAGAUAAGGAGGAGGCAAGGGGCGAGAGCCAGACUGGAGGAUGGCUUCUCUGCUACACUGAAGCCUAUUUAGGAUCACGGGCCAGGCCGAGAAGAGCAAAGCAGGCAGUGACAGAUUUAUAAUGAGCGUAGAUUCUGCCUUUGCAUUUAAUACCGGGCUUAAGAUGUAUUAGAGAGACAAAGGCCGUGGAUCCUGCUCGGGGAGAAGAAAGGCCUUAAUUAAUUUGGGGAGAUCACGGAGGCCCCGGGCCCACAUCAUCGGUUCUUUGUGGCAGGAAUGCCAGCUAUUUACCGGCGCUCCAAUAGGGCUGCGGGGAGAGUGUUGCUUCAGGUGCGGCGGGGCUGAAGGGAGCAGAGUGUCGAGGCCGGCCUGCAUCGAGCAGGCUGCACAGAGCCUGUUGAAGGGCACAGUUGGCAGCUGUCAGGCCUAUAUUCGUUAACUCAGAGAAGACAUGUGGAGAGAGGACCUUCCUUCCCAAAAUAAACAAAUAGCGGUGGCACACAUCUUUCCAGACUACUGCAAAGGGGAGGGAGAAAGUGAAAAUUGUGCUUUUCUUUCUUUGUCUCUUUUGAUUUCUGCGUGGCCGCUUGGACAAAUAGACCAGGUAGUGAAGUCGUCAAACCUCAGAAUCCAUAAAAAUGAAGAAGAAAAACUGGGCUCAAAACAGCACAAAACAUAUAUUUUACAUUGUGGACUACAAUGUAUAAACCAACUGAAAGAAACAAAAAAGUCAUAUCAGGAGGAACAUUUUCUGAAUUUGUUAUAAUGUCAUUUUAAAACAUGAUAUUCCGUUAUAGUGUAUGUUUUUUCUAAAACACUUAUGUGCUUCCUGUGAGAUUCCUAAAUGAAUAAUAUUAAAAGGUGAAGUCUACA